This 508-nucleotide ribosomal RNA is filed under the name uncultured bacterium. Its description in RNAcentral is "partial 16S ribosomal RNA". It matches the Rfam family "Bacterial small subunit ribosomal RNA", at positions 28 to 523 of the family's 1533-position model. The record is from RNAcentral.
GAUGAACGCUAGCUACAGGCUUAACACAUGCAAGUCGAGGGGAAACGAUAUUGGAAGCUUGCUUCCGAUAGGCGUCGACCGGCGCACGGGUGAGUAACGCGUAUCCAACCUGCCCACCACUUGGGGAUAACCUUGCGAAAGUAAGACUAAUACCCAAUGAUAUCUCUAGAAGACAUCUGAAGGAGAUUAAAGAUUUAUCGGUGAUGGAUGGGGAUGCGUCUGAUUAGCUUGUUGGCGGGGUAACGGCCCACCAAGGCGACGAUCAGUAGGGGUGCUGAGAGGAAGGUCCCCCACAUUGGGACUGAGACACGGUCCAAACUCCUACGGGAGGCAGCAGUGAGGAAUAUUGGUCAAUGGGCGAGAGCCUGAACCAGCCAAGUAGCGUGCAGGAUGACGGCCCUAUGGGUUGUAAACUGCUUUUAUAAGGGAAUAAAGUGAGUCUCGUGAGACUUUUUGCAUGUACCUUAUGAAUAAGGACCGGCUAAUUCCGUGCCAGCCGCCGCGGUAA